GCAGGCUUCUGACUUGCGUGCUUCUCGACCACAAUCGAGGAGCGGUAUGCAUCUCUAUGCGAUUCUCCAAAUACAUGCUUCUCGACCAUGAUCUAGGAUUGAAACUUAUUCUCCAUACGAUUCUUUAUGUAAUUCUCCAAACAUGCACAUUUUAGCCAUGACUGAGGAUCAAAAUGUAUUCUCCAUGCGGUUCUCCAAACACACACUCCUCGACCAGAAGAUUAGAACGUAUUCUCCAUGUGGUUCUUCAAACACACACUCUUUGACCACGAUCGAGGAUCGAAAUGUA
Molecule: long non-coding RNA, 289 nt
Filed under: Elaeis guineensis (African oil palm)
Lineage: Eukaryota; Viridiplantae; Streptophyta; Magnoliopsida; Arecales; Arecaceae
Description: long non-coding RNA (EGUI_LNC060740)
Source: RNAcentral